Molecule: long non-coding RNA, 1256 nt
Organism: Canis lupus familiaris (dog)
Lineage: Eukaryota; Metazoa; Chordata; Mammalia; Carnivora; Canidae
Exons: 4
Source: RefSeq, a predicted model, not a curated record
GUGAAUGGAGACAUAUCAAGACAUGAAGAAAGAGAUUCCAGGGAAUAUGUGAAGACCAUGAUGACAUGGGGAGAGGUGCCUUUCUCUCUGAUUGGACCAAGUGAGGGUGAAGGUGAGACUUCCAAGGAUGUAUUUCCAGUGACAUGAACCAGAAAUUAUGUCUGCAAUAUGUUUAAGCUGUGCUGGGUAACUCUAAUUUUGCCCAAGAACUCACCUUGGAUAAGGAUGAAGAAGAAAGGCUGAAUGUGCAAGACCCUUGGAGAGCAGAUGGCAGGGGCUCAAGAUAGUGCCCCUGUUUCACUACUCAGACAAGAGCUACCCAGUUCAGCUGCUCACAGAGCUGUGAUCUGAGGAAAAACUUUUAUCACUAGGAAGAGAGAGGAGCAAGUGGAGUGCGGCAAGGGGAACUGCUAGUAGUCUGCUUUCCUGGAAACUGCCUGGUCCUCUGAGAACAUGGAAGCCUCUUUAAUGGAUGCCAUCUCAUCUUGCUAAAGAUGACCUGAAAGGGUGCCUGUUAUAUAGCUCAAGAGCCUCUUUGGGUACUGGAGUCCUGCAUUACUCAGAGAUCAAAGAGAAGAGCCCUUCCUCCAGAUUUUGAAUAUCAAGAUUUUUCUCUAAAGAGAUUUUUCUUCUAUGCUUCUCUGGGCUGCUAUGAAUUUGCAGCCCAACUGAGUGGGCUAACAAUGUCUUUUGAUCACAUACCAACUUGUGGUCAUCAGAACACUGGUGACAUUCAGUCACAAAAGAAAACCAGGGAGAGAGGGAUCUCAAAGUGGCCUUGGUGACAAAAGGGACUUCCGCAUUGAAACAUGUAUCUCAGGCAAGGGUGUCACACAAUGAGCAGACUGUGACCAGCUGACAUUUCAUCAGUGAGUCGCUGCUCAAGUAUUUGGAAGGGAUGCAUUGAUCCCACUCUCCUGGAAAACCCCAAAAGCUCUCAUAAAAUGCCUGCUUUCAUUUAGCUGUUGUUAAAACAACUAAAAUUCCCUUCUCAUAAUUGUUGGGACAUCUCAACAAUAUAGUCCUUUCUCUCCCAGCUUGCAACUCAAACAAAUAUUGUUUCAUUUAUUUCUUGCGGGUUCCCCAGUCUCAUACCCAUGUAAACAACUUUUCAUGUUGAAAGGCAUUUUCCAGGACUCCCUGAGGGUGGCAGUAUUGUUCACACGUGAGUGACUAAUACAAGAAAUUAGGCACCUGUUAGGGAAAUGAUUUAAGGAGCAUGGAUUUACACUAUCAAAAUGAGCAAAGAAUAUAGU